CAGCCCCAGAUCAUCAUCAUCCACUGACAUCCCCACAUUCAUUCUGCAGACAGCCCUGGACACAGUCCUUCCUGACCAACUCCCUGUGCCCUGUAUCCUGUCACAGUCUUGAACCUCCCCACCAAAGAAAAAAGUAAUGAGCAACUCAAGUCAUCCUGGAGAACUCUCAGCAAAUGCACGUUAUAACCACUGCCCGCAUCAUGUGCCAACAACACCAUAAGCCGUGUUCUUGAGCCUCAGCCGAACUCCUAUAAUCCUCGAGCCAGAGCUCUGCACCGAGCACUGGGAACCCACAUGCCUUAAGUUUCAGUCUCUUGGUGGUCCCUUGAGGGCUUCGAUGAUCAGGGCAGAGGCAGAAGGUACCACUUCAAUCUGGGCCUGUCUGUUCUGAAUGGUCAGUUUCACUGUAAUCCUCAGAUCCUUCCAAUCACUGGUUGCCUUGGCCAUGUCAUCACCAACCUUUUUUGGAGACAGACCCAGCGGGCCGAUCUUCGGGCAGACGUGGCACCGACCUCACCACCAGUGCACCUCAGCGAGCGAGCAUAAGAGAGAGAAAGAAAGAUCAUGAGCAGGAAGGAGGGGACGAGGGAG
This is a long non-coding RNA of Canis lupus familiaris (dog), 591 nucleotides long. RefSeq lists it as uncharacterized. The transcript has 5 exons. NCBI's taxonomy places the organism in Eukaryota, Metazoa, Chordata, Mammalia, Carnivora, Canidae. The record is from RefSeq and is a predicted model, not a curated record.